This 301-nucleotide ribosomal RNA is filed under the name uncultured bacterium. Its description in RNAcentral is "partial 16S ribosomal RNA". It matches the Rfam family "Bacterial small subunit ribosomal RNA", at positions 509 to 807 of the family's 1533-position model. The record is from RNAcentral.
CAGUCGCCGCGGUAAUACGAGGGGGGCAAGCGUUGUUCGGAAUUAUUGGGCGUAAAGGGUGCGUAGGCGGUUUGACAAGUCUUAUGUGAAAUCUAUGGGCUCAACCCAUAGUCUGCAUGAGAAACUGUCGGGCUUGAGAGUGGGAGAGGUGAGUGGAAUUUCCGGUGUAGCGGUGAAAUGCGUAGAUAUCGGAAGGAACACCUGUGGCGAAAGCGGCUCACUGGACCAUUUCUGACGCUGAUGCACGAAAGCUAGGGGAGCAAACAGGAUUAGAUACCCCCGUAGUCCCUGUCUCUUAUAC